RNAcentral lists this ribosomal RNA (586 nucleotides) under uncultured bacterium. Its description in RNAcentral is "bacterial SSU rRNA". It matches the Rfam family "Bacterial small subunit ribosomal RNA", at positions 102 to 682 of the family's 1533-position model. The record is from RNAcentral.
ACGGGUGAGUAGAGCAUCGGAACGUGCCCUGUUGAGGGGGAUAGCUCGGCGAAAGCCGGAUUAAUACCGCAUAAGCCCUGAGGGGGAAAGCUGGGGAUCUGAGAAGACCUGGCGCGAGAGGAGCGGCCGAUGUCCGAUUAGCUAGUUGGUGGGGUAAAGGCCUACCAAGGCUGCGAUCGGUAGCGGGUCUGAGAGGACGGCCCGCCACACUGGGACUGAGAGACGGCCCAGACUCCUACGGGAGGCAGCAGUGGGGAAUCUUGGACAAUGGGGGCAACCCUGAUCCAGCGAUGCCGCGUGAGUGAAGAAGGCCUUCGGGUUGUAAAGCUCUUUUGUUCGGGAAGAAAGACCAUCUAUGAAUAGUGGGUGGGGAUGACGGUACUGGACGAAUAAGCACCGGCUAACUACGUGCCAGCAGCCGCGGUAAUACGUAGGGUGCAAGCGUUAAUCGGAAUGACUGGGCGUAAAGCGUGCGUAGGUGGUGUUGUAAGACAGGCGUGAAAUGCCCGGGCUUAACCUGGGGAUGGCGUUUGUGACUGCAAUGCUAGAGUGAGUCAGAGGGGGGUAGAAUUCCACAUGUAGCAGU